CCAAUAGCGUAUAUUAAAGUUGUUGCAGUUAAAAAGCUCGUAGUUGAAUUUCGGGAUCAAUACGUCGGUCGUGCCUCGGUACGUACUAACGAUAUUGAUUUCUCCCUUCUGACGAACCGUGAUGUCAUUAAUUUGGUGUUACGGGAAGUUAGGACUGUUACUUUGAAAAAAUUAGAGUGUUUAAAGCAGGCAAUCGCUCGAAUACGUUAGCAUGGAAUAAUGAAAUAGGACGUUCGAACCUAUUUUGUUGGCUUCUAGGAUCGACGUAAUGAUUAAUAGGGAUAGUUGGGGGCAUUAGUAUUCAAUUGUCAGAGGUGAAAUUCUUGGAUUUAUUGAAGACUAACUACUGCGAAAGCAUUUGCCAAGGAUGUUUUCAUUAAUCAAGAACGAAAGUUAGGGGAUCGAAGACGAUCAGAUACCGUCGUAGUCUUAACCAUAAACUAUGCCGACUAGGGAUCGGAUGAUGUUAAUUUUUUUAAUGACUCAUUCGGCGCCUUACG
Molecule: ribosomal RNA, 500 nt
Filed under: uncultured Glomeromycotina
Lineage: Eukaryota; Fungi; Glomeromycota
Description: partial small subunit ribosomal RNA
Rfam family: Eukaryotic small subunit ribosomal RNA
Source: RNAcentral